CCUAGGUCUAGCCUAUAUACAGAACUCUGGCUAGGUUCUAGAACCCCUGUUCCCCAGGUCUAGCCUAUAUACAGAACUCUGGCUAGGUUCUAGAACCCCUGUUCCCCAGGUCCAGCCUAUAUACACAACUCUGGCUAGAUUGUAGAACCCCCUGUUCCCCAGGUCCAGCCUAUAUACACAACUCUGGCUAGAUUGUAGAACCCCCUGUUCCCCAGGUCCAGCCUCUAUACAGAACUCUGGCUAGGUUCUAGAACCCCUGUUCCCCAGGUCCAGCCUAUAUACAGAACUCUGGCUAGAUUGUAGAACUCUGUCUGACACAAUUGGGUGCACAUAGUUUGUCUUGUUAGUUUCCACUGAAUGGUCAGCUGCCUCCCCCGGCUCAACUCAUGUCUCACCACCUACAGUACUCGCUCACCCUCUCAGGGGGGCGGUGACCUGGCUCGACUCUGGCUGUCAGGAAGCUGCUGGGUCAGGGCUGAGAGGGGAUGGACAGGUGUGAUUAGGAAAAGAUGAAAGUGGACAGAAGGAGAGCAUUAGGACUAAAGGCGUCAGCAUGGUUCGGCUGGCGCCUCGACAAACUUGGCUAGCUGAACAGAACCAGUGUGCUUGCAUACGCUCUUAAGUCCUUCACUUAGAAAAAGUGGCAAUAGUAGUGUUUGUCCAUUAAGAACUCAAGAUAUGUCAUUAAUGUUUUAAGUUUUUGCGGCGGAUGUCUAAGUGGUAAAUAUAACUAGGCUGUUUGCUGAAGUAUUUCUCGACGGGGGGGGGGGGACGACGACAAGUCGUCUCUCGUUGAAUGACAACACUUUGUUGACGAAUCCCUACUGUUGACCAAUCACCGAUGACGAGGUGUAGACUUUGGCUCUGAACUUCGGCUUGCCUCCAGAAAAAAAUGUGCCAGAACAGCCAAACUCUCACCGAAGUCCAAAAUGUUGUCAGAAUAUAUGGCCUGGGAAGCAUGUGUAAGCCUUAAGCCUUAAGCCAGGACAUGGUGGACAGGGGAGCUGGCAGCCUUGUUCAGCCCUUCUUCUCUCUUCCUCCUACAGCCUAGCUCAUAAAACCCUAAAUUCCAUCUCCCUGAUGCAGAUUUUCCACGCCACAACGACCUCACGGCACAGUACAACACUGUGCCAUGACCCUAAACCCUCUGGCUUUACAGACCCACAAGUUGAUUUUCCAAAACAAAGGAUUUGUAGUCAAU
Molecule: long non-coding RNA, 1201 nt
Organism: Oncorhynchus keta (chum salmon)
Lineage: Eukaryota; Metazoa; Chordata; Actinopteri; Salmoniformes; Salmonidae
Exons: 4
Source: RefSeq, a predicted model, not a curated record